This 98-nucleotide transfer RNA is filed under the name Treponema sp. RNAcentral's name for it is "tRNA-Thr". It matches the Rfam family "tRNA". From Rfam's summary of the family: Transfer RNA (tRNA) molecules are approximately 80 nucleotides in length. Their secondary structure includes four short double-helical elements and three loops (D, anti-codon, and T loops). Lineage: Bacteria; Pseudomonadati; Spirochaetota; Spirochaetia; Treponematales; Treponemataceae. The record is from RNAcentral.
GGGGGUGAAGCUCUCAAUGGUGAGAGCGCCGGGCUUGUAACCCGGAGGGGCGAUCAGGAUCGCAACCUGAUUUUUCCGUUCAAUUCGGGCCACCCCUU